UCCCGGUUAGAUCAGUUGGUAGAGCGCUUCACUGGAAAUGAAAAGGUCUCUGGUUUGAUACCAGGACCAAGCA
Molecule: non-coding RNA, 73 nt
Organism: Ixodes scapularis (black-legged tick)
Lineage: Eukaryota; Metazoa; Arthropoda; Arachnida; Ixodida; Ixodidae
Source: Rfam